AGUGAACGCUGGCGGUAGGCCUAACACAUGCAAGUCGAACGGCAGCACAGUAAGAGCUUGCUCUUACGGGUGGCGAGUGGCGGACGGGUGAGGAAUACAUCGGAAUCUACUUUUUCGUGGGGGAUAACGUAGGGAAACUUACGCUAAUACCGCAUACGACCUACGGGUGAAAGCAGGGGAUCUUCGGACCUUGCGCGAUUGAAUGAGCCGAUGUCGGAUUAGCUAGUUGGCGGGGUAAAGGCCCACCAAGGCGACGAUCCGUAGCUGGUCUGAGAGGAUGAACAGCCAAGCGGACAGUGAGCCAGGGGUCAGAGCCGGGGGGGGGGAGGAUGGGAGGAAGGUUGCACAAGGGGCCAGAGGCGUGGCCGCGCCGCCGGGGUGGGGGAGAAGGGCCUGGGGGUUGACAAGUCCUUUGGUGGGGAAAGACAAGAAGCGGGUAAUUCCCCGGCUGUUCUGCAGGUACCAAAAGAAUAAGAACCGGCUAACUCCGUGCCAGCAGGCGCGGUAAUAGUGGAAGAGCAUACUUAUGAUC
This 532-nucleotide ribosomal RNA is filed under the name uncultured bacterium. RNAcentral's name for it is "partial 16S ribosomal RNA". It matches the Rfam family "Bacterial small subunit ribosomal RNA", at positions 28 to 545 of the family's 1533-position model. The record is from RNAcentral.